AGGAGGAAAUGGACUCGCCCAUUCAUUUCCUGUGGAGCCAUUCAAUCCGUGCCAGGGCUGCGGAUCCUGUGGGAAGAAGUCUGCCCUGUCUCAGCCCCCACAGAUUCCCCGUUCCAGUCUGGAUGAAAUGGAGUGAGCAGCCAGGUUCUGUGGGUCCCUCCGUGACAUGCGAGGUGAUGUGGACACCAGCCCCCGCUUCAAGGGAGACACUUCUGUUCUCAGCAGGAGAAAGGCCAGGCAACACACCCAGCUUCGUCCCCUGCCCUGUCCAGAACACACCCGAGACUGGUCACACAGACACAAGCACCCAGGCUAACAAAUGCAAAGGCACAUGCCUGUUGAGCACGCCUGUCCCUGUUGGGUCCUCUCCCGGGUCCAAACCCCAGCACCUUGCCUUGGUCACCACACUAGUCUCCCACCCUCACGCUCUCCUGUCUGGCUGGUGGCGUGGGAGGGAAUUCCUCCUCUACGCUGGGGCAGGUCCCCCACUUUUAACUCACCCUCUGGCAGGAAGCUUCUGGAGGCCCGAAACGGGGAGCACAUUAUGUCUGAAGUUGGGGCAGGUGGGGGUCAGAGUGGCCGUGGGUGCCAGCCCGGCAGCGGGCAGGCAGACUGGACCCUGAGGUCUGACGCAAUGGAAAAAGAAACCACAGUUCAGGCUGGGCCAGGCCCCCUCCCCUUCUGCCCCAGCAGGAGACAGCAAGGUGUCAUUAAGGGAGGGCUGGGUCUGCCAUGCGCAUGUGGGCAAGAUGGAAGGCUUGGGACAUUGCCCGCCCCACCCCGCAUGUAAUUUGAGGUUUCAGGCUGGAGGAGGGGGUAUGUGGAGCCAGGGCCUGCUCGAGGGAUGGUCCUGACUCAUGGCACAGGUGGGCACAGGCUUCUGGGUGAUCAGACUCCCUGGAAGGAGCGUGGAAGGUGAGGAUACCAAACCAGCAGUUCCUUUUACAAACGGGUUAACUGGGACAAGUGGAGGAGUCUGAGACUCCUCAGUCGUAGGUUUGUGCAUUCAUUCAAACAUCCUCUGAGAAGCCUCAGGCUGUGGCAAUGGGUAAAGCAUAGAGCAAUGGUGGCGAACCCAUGGUACGUGGCUGCAGCAAGCACACAGAGCCCGCUCCGCAGACAUGCGAGCCAAGCUGCCCAACAUCACCCCAGCAUCAGAUAACAGCACACACAGGGCAGCAUUGGCAUCUGGGGAUAAUAGACACUAGGUCUCUAAAAGGCUCGCCAUCCCUGGCAUAGAGGGUUCAGCCUCCACCAGGUCCAGUGCUCCAGCAAUAAAACACCCUGCCAUAGGGCCAGGACAGGAUCUGGUGACUCUGGUCCUGAGCACUAUGGCUUUAGCCAGAAAUCUGGGAGCCCGUGGUCCUUGACUCCUCUUACCAUCUCCUCCCAUAUAACACAGUACAGCCUACCCCACCUCCAAGUUUUGUCCAGCAUCCAUCUGCCUCUCUCCACUUCCUCUGCUGCAGGCUGGCCAGGCUCCUAUCAUCCCUGCCCAGCCAUGCCCCAGCCCAUGAUGGGUGUCCCCAUUACAACUCACCCUCCCAGACUAAGGCAAGAAAGAAUUUUUAAGCAUAUAAAUUCAAUACUGCCAUAGCUCUACCUGAAACUCUUUCAAAUCUUCCCCUUCCAGCUCACAAAGACCCUCAAUCCUCUCCAGGCCAAAAUGACUUGAUCCCAUCUCAGACCACAUUUCUCUGGCUCCCUCUGGUCUGGCUAUACCACUUCACCAUACUCUGUGAAUAUGCUGUCUCCUGCCUCAGGGCCUUUGCACUUAUUGCCCCUGUUGCUCAAAAUGCUUUUCUUCCCAUUAAGAGUUGUCCCAUCCUCUGAGGCCUUUCCUGAUCACUUGGACUAAUGAAAUCGGUCUCAGCUCCAUGCUGUCUUCACUGAUCACUGUGUUGUACCUUCAUUUUACAUAUUUGUCUACAUGUCUUGACUUUGUCAUCUGUAGGUUCCCAGGGAGGCACCAGUACUGUUUCUCCAGCAUGAGAGUCCUGUCUGUACUGAGCAGGUGUUAAUGAAUGUGCUAUACGCGCGAGGAUGCAGGCACCCUGCAGGCAGGUCCUUCCUCUGCAGCACAGACAGCAAUGCCUCUCUAUGCACGGUGCUGGGAAGAUCACAAAGCCACUUUGAAAACUCUGGACCCUCAUAACUGCUCUGACAGGACAGCAAUAGGGGGGCUCAGUUCAUGGGAGAAACCGAGACCUAAAAAGGACAGUGGUUUUUCCAAGCGAGGACAGGAUGUGCCCAAGCCCAGAGCCCAGGCUGCUAUGAUACCAUCCCAGCAACGCAGGUCCCAGGAGUUAGCUGCAGUCCACGGGGCUCACUGUGGGGAGAAGCUGCUGAGCAGGCUGGGUGGUGAUGGGGAGACACCAAGAGAGGCAGGUGGCAAAGGGAAACCUGAAGACCCAAAGCGGGGGGGAGAGUGGAUGAAAGGAAGCACCAGCCCCAACAGAGAAUCCCAACUGGUGGGCAUAAUGGGUGACCACUAGCAAAUGUGGGACAGCCUGUUGGAACUUCCAGUAGGAGGCGCCAGGGGCCACGCAACAAAGCAGGUUAGAUCUGAUACCUGGAAAAUGGAAAAAAGUCUGUUUUCAGUAGCAACUACUGGACACCAACCUCUCUAAAGUCUUGCUGGUAGCUGUCACAGGGCUAGGGGCUUGAUCCUUGGCUCGGUACCACACAGUGGGAAGAGUAUGGACUCGGACUCUGAUUCAGACUGCUGGGGUUGAACCCCAGACUCUGCCAUUUACCUGUGUGACUUCAGGCAAGUUGUUAAACCUCUCUGUGCCUCAGUUUCACCCUCUGUAAUAUGGGGACAGUAACAGUGCUUUCCUAGCAAGACGGCGCUCUUGGAACAACAGUGUGCCGCUUUUGUGGUUAUCAGGAAUCCCUGAUCACUGGGGAGUGGGUGGAGCUGAACAACACUCAGGGCGUGUGGUUCAUGUAAGGGCAGCACAUGGCUAGAUCUGGUUAAGCGCUAUGGUUCUUGGCUGACCUUCUCUGCUGGUGGACAGGGCCACAGAGGCCAAGGUGGUAGAUGGGAUCAAAGAGUAGAUGACAGACCUGGACAGGAUAACCUUCCUGUGUGGUGUCCAUUUCUUGGAGACUAUGGGUCUGAGACCACUGCGGCCUCCAGCAAAUCCUGCUCAGGGGUCUAAUCUGACAGAAGAGCCUUCCAUGGUAGCCCAGGGCUCUUCCUAGUGCAAGUGGUUGCUACAUCGGAGGCUCUGGUGUCUCCCGGGAGCCUGUCGCAAACAGGGCAUCUGGAGCCCUACCCUGACCUGUUCCAUAAGGAAAGGAGAGGUGCCUGGUAACCUGUAUUUGAACAAACCCUCCAGGCCAUCCUAGUUUCGCCUAAGCACUCACAAACCACAGGUUGGGUGGGCAGGUAGGGUUCCUAACAAGCUCCCAGGGGAUCCCCAGGCUGUCCCCCAGGACCACAAUGGGAGCAAAAAUGCCCAGAAAUGAGACUGGCUCUACUUGCCUGAAUUUGGCCAAUUAAGCAUACAUCCUACUUGGUCUCCAUACAAACUCUGCCAGUCCCUGGUAUAGACAGUAAUACUCUGCUAACCAGAACCCUUAGCUAACCACCUUUCCCCUACCCCUACCCACAAAUCCUAGCCCCCACCCCAGUCCAGCCAGCUGCUUAUUUUACAGAGCUUUCAAGGGGUUGGGCCAUAUCUUAAAUACACCCAAGUAUAAAUUACCUCCUUUGGUCCAUUUCCCAGAUGAAAAGACUCAGGAAGACAAAUGGCAAUCAGAUUAGGGUUCUCUAGACAAAGUGGACCAAUCAAUAGUGUAUUUUUUUAAAUAGUGUAUUUUUAAGGCAGGAUCUCGCCAUGUGAUCCAGGCUGGCCUUGAACUCACUAUACACCCAGGCUAGUCUUGACCUUGUGAUCCUCCUGCCUUAGCCUCCUGAGUGCUGGGAUUAUAGUCAUGUACCACCACGUCCAGCUUUGAGAGAGAUUUAUUUUAAGGAAUUGGUUCAUGGGAUCCCGGAGGCUGGAAAGUUCAAAAUCUAUGGGGCAGGUCCCAAUUCUUUCUUUUUUGAGGGACCCUGGUCUCUGUGCUGGAGGCCUUCCAUGGGUUGGUUGGAUGAGGCCCAUGCAUUAUGGAGGAUAAUCUGCUUUACUCAGUCUACUGACAAAUAUUAAUCACAUCUUAAAAAUACCUUCACAGCAGCAUCCAGACUGGUAUUUGACCAAACAACCUAGCCAAGUUUGCAUGUAGAAUUAGCCACCACUGCUCCUUUUUAGGCCUCAGUUUUCCCCCAUGAACAGAACCC
This 4291-nucleotide long non-coding RNA is filed under the name Fukomys damarensis (Damara mole-rat). RNAcentral describes it as "lncRNA (ENSFDAG00000024342.1)". Lineage: Eukaryota; Metazoa; Chordata; Mammalia; Rodentia; Bathyergidae. The record is from RNAcentral.